AUUUUGUCCUUCUACUGUCUCUCACGAACCGCUGGGCUUUGAAAAUGCAAAACCAAAACAAACACAAAGGAACACGCUGGAGAAGAAUGUGUGUGUGUGUGUGUGUGUGUGUGUGUUUAAAAUCACUCUGGUGAUUGCCCAAUCACUGGGCCAUGGUAAUUAUCCAGGAAGGUGUUUGAAGAUAUGCUCCACUGAAGGGGAGUGAUAACAACCUUCAGAAACUGUUUAAUCCCCAGGAACUAAAAUCAGUCUGAUGGCAGCUGCGCAAGAUGGGAAGGAAUAAUCACUGAAAUUAGACCAAGGAGGAGAGCAUGAAGUGUGUUUUCUUUCAGCCACCGGCGUUGGAAGAGCUCAAGUUCAGCUGCCCCAUCCCGCCUGGGACACAGGCGGACAGUGGCGGAGACAGAGACAGGCCAGGGAGCAACAGAGGAUGGGGAAGUCGUUACCAGGACCAGACACGCCCUUCCCAGGUUCCAAGUCAUGUUGGAGGCCUCUUAAAUGUUCAGAAAUGGCUUCAUCUGAUGAGAUCUUCACCACUGCACUUUGGAUUGGAAUGAAUAGCAGAAUGGUAACACUCUUGUCAGUUUUCACAAUACUGAAAUGGUACACAGACUAUCUUUACACUAACGUAUUUUUGCUAAAAAUUAACAAGAGUAGAUUAUCUAAUAUUCAACAAAAGCAAACACUUUUACCUCUGGGGGGUGGGAAUUAUUGUCAAAAUUAAAAGUUGAAGCAAAUUAAUUUAUAAGCAAAUUUCCAACCUGAUUUUUUGUAUAUGUUGAGAUGUAACAAUUUAGUUUUCAAAAACCCAGAUUGUAACUUUAAAGACUUUUGUCUUAACAGAAUAUACUGUUCUUAGAAAUAGGAUGGAAAAGGUUGGUUGGUUGAUCAGUGGUUGUAUACACUUUCUUGUAAUUGUAGCAAAUUCUAGAAGGGUACUUCUUAAAGAAAGAAACUGUGGGUUAGUAAGUGAUAAUGUGGCCAUGGAAUUAUGAAGUUUCCCAACUUGCCUAUUCUGGAGAAUUAUCUAGGGCAUACAUUAAAAAACAACAAUGACAACAGCAAAACAAACAAAACAGAUUCCAGGUCCCACCCUAGCCCUCUCUAGGGGAGACCUAAAAGAAAUCUGUAUUUUAAACAGGUAUGCAGGGCUGCUCUUACCAUCUGGCAAGUCUGAGAAGUAGUAGAUAAUGGGGAAAGGUCUGACUUUAUCAUCAGACAGACUGAACUUGAAUCCCUGCUUGGCCAGGCUGGAGCUGAAUAACAUUUGGUUAAUUUCUCUGAGCUUCAGUUUCUUCAUUCAUUGCUUGUGUUGAGACAGGGGUGGGCACAACAUGGGGAGCAAGGGGGACUGGGGCACCAAAGGAGUUACUGUUUAUAAAACCUCUAGUGCUGUAUUGCAUCCACUCUUCAAACAAUAAUAAUAGUGAAAUACCAGUGGUUUGAUUUUCUGGAAUUUAACCAUUGAAAUAGAUCAAAUUUUUCCUGUCUUCAGAGACAGAACAACUGUUUUAAAUUGAUCAGUUCUGGGUUGAUCAUUUCCUGCCCACUUCUUAUUUUGCCCGAGAAUGUAUUUGGUGGAAAUGAUUGAUCAGGGAGAUUCUUUUUGGCACUCUUCCUUGGUUUUGAACAUUGUGUCCUAAUGAAGUGGCAUCUCUAAUAUCUCACUCUUUACUCUUUUUUAGCCACCUAGAAUUCUCUGUCAUUCUACUGAACAGGAGAAU
Long non-coding RNA from Bos indicus x Bos taurus (hybrid cattle), 1724 nucleotides. The record is from Ensembl. NCBI's taxonomy places the organism in Eukaryota, Metazoa, Chordata, Mammalia, Artiodactyla, Bovidae.